AGAGUUUGAUCCUGGCUCAGGACUAACGCUGGCGGCGUGCCUAACACAUGCAAGUCGAACGAGUUGUUUAUAGUAGCAAUAUUACAAACAGCAAGUGGCGAACGGGUGAGUAACACGUAGAUAAUCUGCCUUUCAGACGGGGACAACUCAGGGAAACUUGUGCUAAUACCGGAUAAGACUACGGGAGGGGACUUCUGAAUCAAAAGGUGAAGAGAAAAGGUGGCCUCUUUACAAUGCUACCACUUACAGAUGAGUCUGCGUCCUAUCAGCUAGUUGGUGGGGUAAAAGCCUACCAAGGCGAAGACGGGUAGCCGACCUGAGAGGGUGACCGGCCACACUGGAACUGAGAUACGGUCCAGACUCCUACGGGAGGCAGCAGUAAGGAAUAUUGCGCAAUGGGGGCAACCCUGACGGAGCGACGCCGCGUGAGGGAUGAAGGUUUUCGGAUUGUAAAGCUCUGUGAUAUUUGACGAACGAUAUUGAGACCAUCUGACGGUACCAGAGGAGGAAGCCACGGCUAACUACGUGCCAGCAGCCGCGGUAAUACGUAGGUGGCGAGCGUUGUCCGGAAUUACUGGGCGUAAAGGGCGCGUAGGCGGCUCUUUAAGUCAGAUGUGAAAACCCAGGGCUUAACCUUGGGAGUGCAUUUGAAACUGAAGGGCUCGAGUGCAGGAGAGGUAAGUGGAAUUCCUAGUGUAGCGGUGAAAUGCGUAGAUAUUAGGAGGAACACCAGUGGCGAAGGCGACUUACUGGCUUGUAACUGACACUGAGGCGCGAAAGCGUGGGGAGCAAACAGGAUUAGAAUACCCUGGUAGUCCACGCCGGAAACGAUGGGUACUAGGUGUCGGGGGUAUCGACCCCCUCGGUGACUGAGCUAACGCAAUAAGCACUCCGCCUGGGGAGUACGGUCGCAAGACUGAAACUCAAAGGAAUUGACGGGGGCCCGCACAAGCGGUGGAGUAUGUGGUUUAAUUCGAAGCAACGCGAAGAACCUUACCAAGUCUUGACAAACAUCGACCGCUGUCCUAGAGAUAGAGUGGAGGUUAUCACGGAUACAGGUGGUGCAUGGUUGUCGUCAGCUCGUGUCGUGAGAUGUUGGGUUAAGUCCCGCAACGAGCGCAACCCCUACAGCCAGUUGCCAGCACAUAAUAGAUCACUCUAGCAGAACUGCCGGUGACAAAACGGAGGAAGGUGGGGAUGACGUCAAAUCAUCAUGCCCCUUAUGUCUUGGGCUACACACGUACUACAAUGGCCUGAACAGAGGGAAGCGAAACUGUGAAGUUUAGCGAACCCCUAAAAACAGGUCCCAGUUCGGAUUGUAGGCUGCAACUCGCCUACAUGAAGUUGGAAUCGCUAGUAAUCGCAGGUCAGCAUACUGCGGUGAAUACGUUCCCGGGCCUUGUACACACCGCCCGUCACACCACGAAAGUUGGCAACACCCGAAGCCGGUGACUCAACCCGUAAGGGAGAGAGCCGUCGAAGGUGGGGUUAGUAAUUGGGGUGAAGUCGUAACAAGGUAACCA
RNAcentral lists this ribosomal RNA (1523 nucleotides) under uncultured bacterium. RNAcentral describes it as "bacterial SSU rRNA". It matches the Rfam family "Bacterial small subunit ribosomal RNA". The record is from RNAcentral.